UAUUACUAUACAUCUGUUCUGUGCUGGGCCUAGACUUUUUUCUAAGCUGAGCAAUUAAGAGUUCUUAAGAGUUCUCAAAAGUUCAGGUGUCAGAACAGUUAAGCUCUUCAUUACAUGUAAGAUGAAUAAACUUCACAGUCUCUUAAAAAAUAGCAAAAACUGAGAGUGGGCACAAAACAAUGGGAUUGCCAGGCACCUAAUAAAUAUUGUCCUAUUACAUUGUAAAAGUGUUCUCAGCACUGUGCAGCCGUUAAGUAUCUGAAAUAUCUUCCAGACACUAUCCAUGCUGCCUCUGUUAUCCUGAUUCACAUCAGUUACAUUGACUGCUGCAACUGCAAGGGUUUGUUCCUUCCUAGCGGAAAGGAAGAGAAGCAAGAUAGACUAACGUUUCUCGGCUCCAGAUACACUCUUUGGUAUGAAUCAUCGAAUCAUUAAGGUUGGAAAAGACCAAUAAGAUCAUCUAGUCCAACCAUCAACCCACCACCAUCAUGUCUGGUAAAUCAUGUCCUUCAGUGCCAUAUCCAAACAAUUCUUGAACACCUCCAGGGAUGGUGACCUCCUUAGAUCCAGAGGGAGAAUAGAUGAUAGUGAAGACCAGUGGCUAUAUGGCAGGGAAGAACAGAUUUGGAGGUGCUGAAAAGCAAUAAUCUAGGCAACAAAUCUCAGCAUAUAGUGUGGUAGCAGUGCUUCAUUCUCCAGCUAGCAUCGAGAUAGUACAAAUCUGUUUUCUCAGUCUUUUUCUUUGUUGCUGUACUUCAAAUAAAGUCAACUUUGCUUCCAUGAGGGAACUGUGUGUGACUGAGAUUGCAAUGGAAACUUUCUAUCUAUGGAAAUACAGUUAUACCAACCUUGCUGGAAGCAAUGCUGUGUCUUUUUUGUGCCAUGUCUUCACCCAUUACUAUUCAUAGCCAGAGACACCAGCAGAUCUAACUGUCUUGGCCCACUUUUUGUGCAGUUUUGGUAAUUUAGCUGGACUUGGUCAUUAAGCAAGCAAAUUUCCAACAGUUAGAGAGCUGAGUGGUUGUGCAGUGUCUGCUGCUGCUCAAAAUGCAGGCACUAAAAACAAUGGAAUGAUACCUGCAUCCCUGUGCAAAAUGAGCCUGACUUGGAAGCACCACCUUGCCUCUUCCUUCACUGACGUAAGUAGAGAACUGGUGUAAGUACAAGACAUUGUUGAAUCGACCCAGGAAAUAGAUCCAUUUUUGGAUGCAAGGAUACAAUCCCUACACAGACGUGGAAGACAGUCCAGGCCCUGUGUCAUUUUGUUCCUUGCCAUGUAUUCUGAACAGCACAUAAGUAAAUAGGUCUAAAAGCCACUGGACACAGUACACAGGCUGGCUAUCAGAGCCCGUCUCCAGACAGCUCUGCACUCCCUUGGUUUGAAAUAAUUCUGUUUGCAAGCGAAAGAAACAUUCCUAGCCUUCAAGCAGCGCUGACGCAUUCCAAGUUUAACAGUCUGUGGAAAAAAGAGAAGCAUGAGGACAGCUUACAUUCUGGAGCUGAGGAUAAAGAAAUUCAGAUCAGAAUCCAAUGCCAGGGUAAGUUUAUACAUGGAUGCUGUAGACUUGCUGUCACUUGCAGCUUGAAGUUGCAGCUGGCUUUCUGAAAAGGUGCUGGGGUUCAAAUAGUCGCGCUGGGCUUGAUGCAGAAAUUGCACUGUGCUGCUCCAUGGCUUGUUCUAUGCAUAUGGGAAAACAUGAUUCAUAUCUAGCCUUAAAAUCUUUGGCUCUG
RNAcentral lists this long non-coding RNA (1731 nucleotides) under Gallus gallus (chicken). Its description in RNAcentral is "lncRNA (ENSGALG00010012249.1)". The record is from RNAcentral. Lineage: Eukaryota; Metazoa; Chordata; Aves; Galliformes; Phasianidae.